UAAGUGAUUAAGCGUACAAGGUGGAUGCCUUGGCAAUCAGAGGCGAAGAAGGACGUGCUAAUCUGCGAAAAGCUUGGAUGAGUCGAUAAGAGGCGUUUAAUCCAAGAUAUCCGAAUGGGGAAACCCAGUAGAUGAAGAAUCUACUAUCAACAAGUGAAUUCAUAGCUUGUUGAGGCAAACCGGGAGAACUGAAACAUCUAAGUACCCCGAGGAAAAGAAAUCAACCGAGAUUUCGUCAGUAGCGGCGAGCGAAAGCGAAAGAGCCAGUAAGUGAUAGCAGUAUAGUGAGGAGAAUGUGUUGGGAAGCACAAUCAAAGAGGGUGAUAAUCCCGUAUCUAAAAACCAUAUUGUGGUACUAAGCUAACGAGAAGUAGGGCGGGACACGUGAUAUCCUGUUUGAAGAAGGGGGGACCAUCCUCCAAGGCUAAAUACUCCUGAUUGACCGAUAGUGAACCAGUACUGUGAAGGAAAGGCGAAAAGAACCCCGGUGAGGGGAGUGAAAUAGAACCUGAAACCUUGUACGUACAAGCAGUGGGAGCCCCAUCACUUAAUCCGAUUGGAAGGUGAUGAAAAGCAACCGCACUUAAACAAUGGUAAGAGGAGCGAAGCGAGUCAAACCACCCAAAAGAAGCAGUGGGAUUAAGUGAUGGGGUGACUGCGUACCUUUUGUAUAAUGGGUCAGCGACUUAUAUUUUGUAGCGAGGUUAACCGAAUAGGGGAGCCGAAGGGAAACCGAGUCUUAACUGGGCGAAUAGUUGCAAGGUAUAGACCCGAAACCCGGUGAUCUAGCCAUGGGCAGGUUGAAGGUUGGGUAACACUAACUGGAGGACCGAACCGACUAAUGUUGAAAAAUUAGCGGAUGACUUGUGGCUGGGGGUGAAAGGCCAAUCAAACCGGGAGAUAGCUGGUUCUCCCCGAAAUCUAUUUAGGUAGAGCCUUGAGGUGACACCUUUGGGGGUAGAGCACUGUUUCGGCUAGGGGCCAUCCCGGCUUACCAACCCGAUGCAAACUACGAAUACCAAAGAGUGAUACUCAGGAGACACACGGCGGGUGCUAACGUCCGUCGUGGAGAGGGAAACAACCCAGACCGCCAGCUAAGGUCCCCAAGUCUAUAUUAAGUGGGAAACGAAGUGGGAAGGCUUAGACAGCUAGGAUGUUGGCUUAGAAGCAGCCAUCAUUUAAAGAAAGCGUAAUAGCUCACUAGUCGAGUCGGCCUGCGCGGAAGAUGUAACGGGGCUGAAAUAUAGCACCGAAGCUGCGGCAUCAGAAUUUAUUCUGUUGGGUAGGGGAGCGUUGUGUAAGCGGAAGAAGGUUCAUCGAGAGGUGGGCUGGACGUAUCACAAGUGCGAAUGCUGACAUAAGUAACGAUAAAACGGGUGAAAAACCCGUUCGCCGGAAGACCAAGGGUUCCUGUCCAACGUUAAUCGGGGCAGGGUGAGUCGGCUCCUAAGGCGAGGCUGAAAAGCGUAGUCGAUGGGAAACAGGUUAAUAUUCCUGUACUUGGUAAAGCUGCGAUGUGGGGACGGAGUAGGUUAGGUUAUCGCACUGUUGGAUAUGUGCGUUUAAGUUGGUAGGUGGGAAGUUUAGGCAAAUCCGGGCUUCCUUAACACAGAGAGAUGAUGACGAGGCUCUACGGAGCUGAAGUAACUGAUACCACACUUCCAGGAAAAGCCACUAAGCGAAAGGCUUUACUAAACCGUACUGAAAACCGACACAGGUGGUCAGGUAGAGAAUACUCAGGCGCUUGAGAGAACUCGGGUGAAGGAACUAGGCAAAAUAGCACCGUAACUUCGGGAGAAGGUGCGCCGGCGUAGAUUGUAAGGGCUAGCCCCUGAAGGUUGAACCGGUCGAAGAUACCAGCUGGCUGCAACUGUUUAUUAAAAACACAGCACUCUGCAAACACGAAAGUGGACGUAUAGGGUGUGAUGCCUGCCCGGUGCUGGAAGGUUAAUUGAUGGUGUAAUCGCAAGAGAAGCACCUGAUCGAAGCCCCAGUAAACGGCGGCCGUAACUAUAACGGUCCUAAGGUAGCGAAAUUCCUUGUCGGGUAAGUUCCGACCUGCACGAAUGGCAUAAUGAUGGCCAGGCUGUCUCCACCCGAGACUCAGUGAAAUUGAAAUCGCCGUGAAGAUGCGGUGUACCCGCGGCUAGACGGAAAGACCCCGUGAACCUUUACUAUAGCUUGACACUGAACAUUGAAUUUUGAUGUGUAGGAUAGGUGGGAGCCUUUGAAGCAGUGACGCCAGUCAUUGUGGAGGCGACCUUGAAAUACCACCCUUUAACGUUUGAUGUUCUAACGAAGAUGACGAAACGUGGUCUCGGACAGUGUCUGGUGGGUAGUUUGACUGGGGCGGUCUCCUCCCAAAGCGUAACGGAGGAGCACGAAGGUUUGCUAAUCACGGUCGGACAUCGUGAGGUUAGUGCAAUGGUAUAAGCAAGCUUAACUGCGAGACAGACAAGUCGAGCAGGUACGAAAGUAGGUCAUAGUGAUCCGGUGGUUCUGAAUGGAAGGGCCAUCGCUCAACGGAUAAAAGGUACUCCGGGGAUAACAGGCUGAUACCGCCCAAGAGUUCAUAUCGACGGCGGUGUUUGGCACCUCGAUGUCGGCUCAUCACAUCCUGGGGCUGAAGUAGGUCCCAAGGGUAUGGCUGUUCGCCAUUUAAAGUGGUACGCGAGCUGGGUUUAGAACGUCGUGAGACAGUUCGGUCCCUAUCUGCCGUGGGCGUAGGAGAAUUGGUUGGGGCUGCUCCUAGUACGAGAGGACCGGAGUGGACGCACCACUGGUGUUCCGGUUGUGUCGCCAGACGCAUUGCCGGGUAGCUAAGUGCGGAAGAGAUAAGUGCUGAAAGCAUCUAAGCACGAAACUUGCCAAGAGAUGAGUUCUCCCAAUCAAAGAGAUUGUAAGGGUUGUUGUAGACUACGACGUAGAUAGGUCUGGUGUGUAAGUGUAGUGAUACAUUGAGCUAACAGAUACUAAUUGCCCGAGAGGCUUAACUA
RNAcentral lists this ribosomal RNA (2996 nucleotides) under Haemophilus influenzae. RNAcentral's name for it is "bacterial LSU rRNA". It matches the Rfam family "Bacterial large subunit ribosomal RNA". Lineage: Bacteria; Pseudomonadati; Pseudomonadota; Gammaproteobacteria; Pasteurellales; Pasteurellaceae. The record is from RNAcentral.